Molecule: long non-coding RNA, 1185 nt
Filed under: Struthio camelus australis
Lineage: Eukaryota; Metazoa; Chordata; Aves; Struthioniformes; Struthionidae
Description: lncRNA (ENSSCUG00000011350.1)
Source: RNAcentral
AUGCAGGAGUUUGAAGUUCCCACAGGAGUCCAGACAGAGAAGGGCGCAGGUGACAAGGCCUGUCCUCAGCCCUGCAUGCGGCCCAAAGAGCUGCGGCUAGAGAUGGAGAGUGCCUGGGGAACACCAACCUGCACUGCCUGCCGCGAGCACCCAGGAGGGCCGAGAAACGGUGCUCACUGGGGCAGUGCAUUUCUCUUGCAUGGGGAAAUUGCACGGCACAGCCUGUGGCACGGCCCCAAGUCACCAGGAGAGCAGGGAAGCGUGGUUUUUCUCAGGGCAGUUCCAAUACCAGCUUCCACGUCCUCACCAGCUGGUGUAGUUCAGAUAACCACAAGGAGAAGGACCAAACCCAGCCUACAGCGUGGGCAUAGCUGGGAAGAUCUACAGCACACAGUAUGGGCACAUCAGGCAUCCUCAAGCCCUCACCCCUCCUACUCUGGCAGGACAGCGCUGCCCCGUGGCACCAGUGGACUUGAGCUUCACCCCAACCCUAACCCUGGCCCUGACCUUGCUGACCAAGGACAUGCUGGCCAGAGACAUUUUGCCCUGGCCCUUCUUGUUCUCCAGCUGCCCUUGGGCUCCACGAAGCGGGUGGACGAGGCGUCGGCUCACAACACUCCUGCUGCCCCACAGGGAUGUCCGGCAGAGGAGGGCGACCGCUUCACAUGCUGCACACGAAAGGAAGACCCUGAAGGCUUGGAGGCUCUACCACCUCCGCUAGGCAGUCCUCAGUGGUGGGGAGAAAGAGAGGGAGGGACAUCAGCAGCCAAAAUAGCAUUCAAGAACUGUCCCUUGAGGAAAGCGGAGCUUAAAAAACACCAUACAGAAUCCCAGCAGAAGCUAACAGCUCAUCUAUUUAGCAUCUCAAUUUUCUUGGAGAUUUGCAGCAGGAGUAUGGAUGGGUGUGGUUCUCUCCUAUUAUACUAUUUCUCUUUAAAUUAUAACACAGUGGAAAGGCAGAAAAGACCAAGAGAACAUCUUGCAUCUCUUCUAGGGACCAUCAUUACAUGCAGAAAACAGUUAUUACACCAACAGGUAAAUCAAAAGCUUUUUCUUUCACAGGUGUCGGCUCCAGCGCAGCGACUCACAGCUGGGGAAGCUGAUUUCAGAAUACAAAUGAACACUUUGCAUAGUCAUCCCACCAGUAAUGAGCUGUCUCUUCAGCUCCCAAAAUCAUGCAGAUGA